UACGUAGGGCGCAAGCGUUGUCCGGAAUUAUUGGGCGUAAAGAGCUCGUAGGCGGCCUGUUGCGUCCGCUGUGAAAUCCCGGGGCUCAACCCCGGGCCUGCAGUGGAUACGGGCUGGCUAGAGGCAGGCAGGGGAGAACGGAAUUCCUGGUGUAGCGGUGAAAUGCGCAGAUAUCAGGAGGAACACCGGUGGCGAAGGCGGCUAUCUGGCUCACAACUGACGAUCAGGCACGAAAGCGUGGGGAGCAAACAGG
Molecule: ribosomal RNA, 253 nt
Filed under: uncultured bacterium
Lineage: Bacteria
Description: partial 16S ribosomal RNA
Rfam family: Bacterial small subunit ribosomal RNA
Source: RNAcentral